GACGAACGCUGGCGGCGUGCUUAAUACAUGCAAGUCGAACGGAGUGGCGAACGGGUGAGUAACACGUGGGUUAACUGCUCUGCACUCUGGGAUAAGCCUGGGAAACUGGGUCUAAUACCGGUUAGUGUGGGAUGGGUCCGGGGCCUAUCAGCUUGUUGGUGGGGUAAGGGCGUACGAAGGCGGCGAGGGGUGGCCGGCCUGGGCGGGGGGACGGCGACAUGGGGACUGCGUGACGGAGCAGACUCCUACGGGAGGCAGCAGUGGGGAGUAUUGCACAAUGGGCGGAAGCCUGAUGCGACGACGCCGCGUGGGGGAUGACGGCCUUCGGGUUGUAAACUCCUUUCACCAUCGACGCGGUAGAUGGAGAAGAAGCACCGGCUAACUACGUGCCAGCAGCCGCGGUAAUUC
RNAcentral lists this ribosomal RNA (408 nucleotides) under uncultured bacterium. RNAcentral describes it as "partial 16S ribosomal RNA". It matches the Rfam family "Bacterial small subunit ribosomal RNA", at positions 28 to 526 of the family's 1533-position model. The record is from RNAcentral.